Molecule: ribosomal RNA, 253 nt
Filed under: uncultured bacterium
Lineage: Bacteria
Description: partial 16S ribosomal RNA
Rfam family: Bacterial small subunit ribosomal RNA
Source: RNAcentral
UACGNAGGGGGUUAGCGUUGUUCGGAAUUACUGGGCGUAAAGCGCGCGUAGGCGGACCAGAAAGUUGGGGGUGAAAUCCCGGGGCUCAACCCUGGAACGGCCUCCAAAACUCCUGGUCUUGAGUUCGAGAGAGGUGAGUGGAAUUCCGAGUGUAGAGGUGAAAUUCGUAGAUAUUCGGAGGAACACCAGUGGCGAAGGCGGCUCACUGGCUCGAUACUGACGCUGAGGUGCGAAAGUGUGGGGAGCAAACAGG